GAUGAACGCUGGCGGCGUGCCUAAUACAUGCAAGUCGAGCGAACAGACGAGGAGCUUGCUCCUCUGACGUUAGCGGCGGACGGGUGAGUAACACGUGGAUAACCUACCUAUAAGACUGGGAUAACUUCGGGAAACCGGAGCUAAUACCGGAUAAUAUAUUGAACCGCAUGGUUCAAUAGUGAAAGACGGUUUUGCUGUCACUUAUAGAUGGAUCCGCGCCGCAUUAGCUAGUUGGUAAGGUAACGGCUUACCAAGGCAACGAUGCGUAGCCGACCUGAGAGGGUGAUCGGCCACACUGGAACUGAGACACGGUCCAGACUCCUACGGGAGGCAGCAGUAGGGAAUCUUCCGCAAUGGGCGAAAGCUUGACGGAGCAACGCCGCGUGAGUGAUGAAGGUCUUCGGAUCGUAAAACUCUGUUAUUAGGGAAGAACAACUGUGUAAGUAACUAUGCCCGUCUUGACGGUACCUACUCAGAAAGCCACGGCUAACUACGUG
RNAcentral lists this ribosomal RNA (497 nucleotides) under uncultured bacterium. RNAcentral describes it as "partial 16S ribosomal RNA". It matches the Rfam family "Bacterial small subunit ribosomal RNA", at positions 28 to 507 of the family's 1533-position model. The record is from RNAcentral.